RNAcentral lists this unclassified non-coding RNA (649 nucleotides) under Hevea brasiliensis (rubber tree). Lineage: Eukaryota; Viridiplantae; Streptophyta; Magnoliopsida; Malpighiales; Euphorbiaceae. The record is from RNAcentral.
ACAUUUGCAGUUCACUGAUACUAGGGUCUGCUCUUCCCAAACCAAAAGGGUGUGUUACUUUGGUAAUUUUCAGUUGUUUAUAGUUGAUGUUGAAUCAACGAUUAUCUGCCCUGGCCUUGGGUUUGAUGUUCACACAACAUAUUGUGAAGCUUGAAGAAAUGGAAAAUGAUGAUUUGCUUGUGGAUGAAUUUGAAAAUCAGGGAUGAAGAUGGAUGAGGAGGAAUCGUUGUCCAGUUCUAGAUUGAAACAGGAAGCUGUGACACAUUAUCUGUUUUGACAGAAGCUGCAAGGCGAGGACAAUUCACUGUUGAUUUUGGUAAAAUAUGAGGUCAUUUCUUUACAUCUAUGAACAGAGAGCAGGUACUUGUAAAUCUUUGGUUAUUUGGUCUAGGGCCAAUUUCCUUUUGUUGUGGGAUCUAUUCCUAGUGGCAUGUAAUCUUUGAUAUGCUUUGUGUAUGUAAAUGGGGGUUAUUAAGAAUUAGACAAUGUAUACUUAGAUUACAUCUCAAAUUCUCAAUUGAUAUGAAUCAACUGUUUUUUCCACUCUGUUAGGAGCAUGCUGAUCUGUAUUGCACAUUGCUAGCCUUAUGUAAAAAAAAAUGAUCAGGAAGCUGAACAGUUGAAAAUUUUUUUCUAUUUUAUAUUAGCA